RNAcentral lists this ribosomal RNA (253 nucleotides) under uncultured bacterium. Its description in RNAcentral is "partial 16S ribosomal RNA". It matches the Rfam family "Bacterial small subunit ribosomal RNA", at positions 524 to 776 of the family's 1533-position model. The record is from RNAcentral.
UACGUAGGGGGCUAGCGUUGUCCGGAUUUAUUGGGCGUAAAGAGCGUGUAGGCGGCCAGGUAGGUCUGCUGUGAAAACCCGAGGCUCAACCUCGGGCCUGCAGUGGGUACGGGCAGACUAGAGUGCGGUAGGGGAGAUUGGAAUUCCUGGUGUAGCGGUGGAAUGCGCAGAUAUCAGGAGGAACACCAAUGGCGAAGGCAGAUCUCUGGGCCGUAACUGACGCUGAGGAGCGAAAGCAUGGGGAGCGAACAGG